RNAcentral lists this ribosomal RNA (1352 nucleotides) under uncultured bacterium. Its description in RNAcentral is "bacterial SSU rRNA". It matches the Rfam family "Bacterial small subunit ribosomal RNA", at positions 28 to 1381 of the family's 1533-position model. The record is from RNAcentral.
AUUGAACGCUGGCGGCAUGCCUUACACAUGCAAGUCGAACGGCAGCACGGAGCUUGCUCCGGUGGCGAGUGGCGAACGGGUGAGUAAUAUAUCGGAACGUACCCUAGAGUGGGGGAUAACGUAGCGAAAGUUACGCUAAUACCGCAUACGAUCUAAGGAUGAAAGUGGGGGAUCGCAAGACCUCAUGCUCGUGGAGCGGCCGAUAUCUGAUUAGCUAGUUGGUAGGGUAAAAGCCUACCAAGGCAUCGAUCAGUAGCUGGUCUGAGAGGACGACCAGCCACACUGGAACUGAGACACGGUCCAGACUCCUACGGGAGGCAGCAGUGGGGAAUUUUGGACAAUGGGCGAAAGCCUGAUCCAGCAAUGCCGCGUGAGUGAAGAAGGCCUUCGGGUUGUAAAGCUCUUUUGUCAGGGAAGAAACGGUGAGAGCUAAUAUCUCUUGCUAAUGACGGUACCUGAAGAAUAAGCACCGGCUAACUACGUGCCAGCAGCCGCGGUAAUACGUAGGGUGCAAGCGUUAAUCGGAAUUACUGGGCGUAAAGCGUGCGCAGGCGGUUUUGUAAGUCUGAUGUGAAAUCCCCGGGCUCAACCUGGGAAUUGCAUUGGAGACUGCAAGGCUAGAAUCUGGCAGAGGGGGGUAGAAUUCCACGUGUAGCAGUGAAAUGCGUAGAUAUGUGGAGGAACACCGAUGGCGAAGGCAGCCCCCUGGGUCAAGAUUGACGCUCAUGCACGAAAGCGUGGGGAGCAAACAGGAUUAGAUACCCUGGUAGUCCACGCCCUAAACGAUGUCUACUAGUUGUCGGGUCUUAAUUGACUUGGUAACGCAGCUAACGCGUGAAGUAGACCGCCUGGGGAGUACGGUCGCAAGAUUAAAACUCAAAGGAAUUGACGGGGACCCGCACAAGCGGUGGAUGAUGUGGAUUAAUUCGAUGCAACGCGAAAAACCUUACCUACCCUUGACAUGGCUGGAAUCCCCGAGAGAUUGGGGAGUGCUCGAAAGAGAACCAGUACACAGGUGCUGCAUGGCUGUCGUCAGCUCGUGUCGUGAGAUGUUGGGUUAAGUCCCGCAACGAGCGCAACCCUUGUCAUUAGUUGCUACGAAAGGGCACUCUAAUGAGACUGCCGGUGACAAACCGGAGGAAGGUGGGGAUGACGUCAAGUCCUCAUGGCCCUUAUGGGUAGGGCUUCACACGUCAUACAAUGGUACAUACAGAGCGCCGCCAACCCGCGAGGGGGAGCUAAUCGCAGAAAGUGUAUCGUAGUCCGGAUUGUAGUCUGCAACUCGACUGCAUGAAGCUGGAAUCGCUAGUAAUCGCGGAUCAGCAUGUCGCGGUGAAUACGUUCCCGGGUCU